This 292-nucleotide ribosomal RNA is filed under the name uncultured fungus. RNAcentral's name for it is "partial small subunit ribosomal RNA". It matches the Rfam family "Eukaryotic small subunit ribosomal RNA", at positions 30 to 321 of the family's 1831-position model. The record is from RNAcentral. Lineage: Eukaryota; Fungi.
GCUUGUCUCAAAGAUUAAGCCAUGCAUGUCUAAGUGUAAAUAAGUCUAUACUGUGAAACUGCGAAUGGCUCAUUAAAUCAGUUAUCGUUUAUUUGAUGAUCUCUUACUACUUGGAUAACCGUAGUAAUUCUAGAGCUAAUACAUGCACAAAAUCCCGACUUACGAAGGGAUGUAUUUAUUAGAUACAGAACCAACCCAGGUUCGUCCUGGUUUUGUGGUGAUUCAUGAUAACUGAAUGAAUCGUAUGGCAUCCGCUGGCGAUAAAUCAUUCAAGUUUCUGACCUAUCAGCUU